Molecule: long non-coding RNA, 1411 nt
Organism: Lutzomyia longipalpis
Lineage: Eukaryota; Metazoa; Arthropoda; Insecta; Diptera; Psychodidae
Exons: 3
Source: RefSeq, a predicted model, not a curated record
GGGCCUGACAAAGUCCCUUCUUAGCCGAACUCAGCAAAUUAAUGGCGGACGAUUUGCAGGAAAAUUCUGCUAUCAUUCAAUAGCGCCAUCUAUUGGUUAGCACCGCCGAAAUUUUAACAUAACCUCAAAAUUUGUUUACAUUUCCACUAAAACGUCCGAAAUCGAGAAUAUUUAAUUAAUUUAUUUAGUUUUAAAUUAUUUUAUCGUCCCCAAGUGAUAAAGACCGGUAAUUUGGGUAAGAGAAAGUGAUUUUAGAAAAAAAUUGUGUAGUUUUACAAAGAAAGUGCAAAAAAAUACUUCAGAAAAAUCAUACAAGGCAGUUGAUCACCACCAGAAAGCCCGGAAAUUUCACAUAGGCAGGACUCGAACGGCAGGAAAAUAUAGAGAUAUUCUGCAAAAUAAAUGUGAGAUCAACGCAAUGGAGAAUUAUCCACAAUACACGGCAUCCUUGUCCGGGAAUACAGUAAUCACUGUAUGGAACGACGAAUCCAAAAGGAAAUAAAGUGUAUCACUACGAUUUCAUGCAUUUCAUGGGACGGGUAAGACUACGAGGGUGUCUUCCUCAAUUUUCAAUCUUUUAGCUCAAAAAAUGCAUGUUAAAUUCUCAUUAAAUAAAAUGUUACAGCAACAAUAAGAAGAGGGCCCAUUCACGCUGCUCCAGCCGCUCCAGCCUAUAAAUUUCAGGGUUUUCUCAUGGGAAUCAAGAACGAUCUCCCCGUCAAGUGUUUUGUAAGAUGAACUUGGAGAAAGAAUUAGUGAUACACCUUGAUAAGACUGUAAAAAUUACCAAAAUUCUUCGUGCUUGUGAUCAGUCAGUGAUUCAUUUACUUGGAUGGAUUAAGAAGAAAGCCAUUGAGAAAGUUCCAAGGAUGAACAUUUUUCCACGAGUUUCUUCCUUUCCCGCAAACGUAUUUUAACAAGGCAGUUGCAUAAACAACCCCACUGCUGGUACAUUUUCCGACGAAGAUCUUGGAGUGGAAAAAUUCCUGUUUUCUACAGCAAAUCCUCUAAGAAAGUCACAACAUCGAGAUUCAGCAUUAGGAGAGUUGAAGAGGAAAUUCUCAAUACGGGAAAUGCAGAUUACUGGUUGAAAAAACCAGAGAAGGAUUUAUUCCCGGAAUGUGAAAAAUUCGAAGAGAUGUUAGAAAAGGAGGAUUUCUACUCAUAAUAAUACAACAAGGGAAUCCUUCAUUUGAUGAGAUUCUUCAUGCCCUUCACGAUGUUCCGGCCUAUCAUUUAUGUGACACAGAACAUCUAGCUACAAAACAUACAGCUCACUCAUUGGAAUAGAGUUAGAAGUUUAAAUGUGAUAUUUGAGGUAUCACCCCAAAGUUGAUCUAAAUCUGCACUCUGGCAAUUCUCAUCGAUGAAGCGGUACAUCCUUCACUGUAGCUCCUGCGGGGAAAUGCAG